GGCCGCGGGAAUUCGAUUCAGGCCUAACACAUGCAAGUCGAACGGCAGCACGGACUUCGGUCUGGUGGCGAAAGGCGAACGGGUGAGUAAUAUAUCGGAACAUACCCAGUAGUGGGGGAUAACUAUCCGAAAGGAUAGCUAAUACCGCAUACGAUCUGUGGAUGAAAGCAGGGGAUCUUCAGACCUUGUGCUAUUGGAAUGGCCGAUAUCUGAUUAGCUAGUUGGUAGGGUAAAAGCCUACCAAGGCGACGAUCAGUAGCUGGUCUGAGAGGACGACCAGCCACACUGGAACUGAGACACGGUCCAGACUCCUACGGGAGGCAGCAGUGGGGAAUUUUGGACAAUGGGG
RNAcentral lists this ribosomal RNA (349 nucleotides) under uncultured bacterium. RNAcentral's name for it is "bacterial SSU rRNA". It matches the Rfam family "Bacterial small subunit ribosomal RNA", at positions 43 to 376 of the family's 1533-position model. The record is from RNAcentral.